UUCGCAAUGCCCGAAAGGGUGACGAAGCGACGCCGCGUGCGGGAAGAAGGCCUUCGGGUUGUAAACCGCUGUCGGGAGUUAAGAAAUGCAAGGGUGUUAACAGCGUCCUUGCUUGACUAAGGCUCCGGAGGAAGCCACGGCUAACUCUGUGCCAGCAGCCGCGGUAAUACAGAGGCGGCAAGCGUUGUUCGGAAUUAUUGGGCGUAAAGAGCACGUAGGCGGCUGUGUAAGUCGGUUGUGAAAGCCUUCCGCUCAACGGAAGAAGCGCAUCCGAUACUGCAUAGCUUGAGUGCGGGAGGGGAGAGUGGAACUUCUGGUGGAGCGGUGAAAUGCGUAGAUAUCAGAAGGAACGCCGGCGGCGAAAGCGACUUUCUGGCCCGCAACUGACGCUGAGUGUGCGAAAGCUAGGGGAGCAAACGGGAUUAGAUACCCCGGUAGUCCUAGCCGUAAACGAUGGGCACUAAGUAGAGGGGUUUU
This 477-nucleotide ribosomal RNA is filed under the name uncultured anaerobic ammonium-oxidizing bacterium. RNAcentral's name for it is "bacterial SSU rRNA". It matches the Rfam family "Bacterial small subunit ribosomal RNA", at positions 365 to 832 of the family's 1533-position model. The record is from RNAcentral.